AGGACUCUAUAAAAGGCCUGUGUGCCUUUUGGCUCUUGCUUGAUUGUAAGGAGAAGAUCAAUAAAGAGAUUACUUGUUCAUCAUGUGUCUUCGUUGAAUGCCUAGGAACCGAAUACAUAAAACUGGCGACAAAGGUGGGAUCCCUGCAAGCAAAAGAAACAAAUAGGACUCACUGAGAAAGUCCUGAAGACUGGGAAGACGGUGUCCUGCAUUCGCGACUCAGCCUGCCAGUAUAGCAUCGCUGGAGGUGUGAAACCCAAAGGGGUCCUCUUCUGCCCAUUUCCUGUGUGAAGAUUGGCUUCUUCAAACCAGGUUCCCAUAUCUUGCCAACCUUCUGUCCAACAAAUGUUCCUGCUUGGUAGAAAAAAUGGAUCCAUUUCAUAAACUGAUAGGCCAUUACAGCUUGUUCAACAAUUAGUUCUUAAGCACGACAUGUAAACACUGAAGAACAAGAGGAGAAAAUGGAAAACCAGGUGCCCUUUGGCGAAACAAGAAAUCUAGAGGUUUUUGGAAUGAUAAGUUUUUACAUUGUGACUUAAGUUUGUCCAGUACCUAUUCACUCCUGAGACCAAGGGUCUCUACUUUCUCCCAUCAGCAAAAUCAGAGGCCUGUGUAAGCUACACGAGGAGCCAGAAAAAGAAAUGUCUCCACCUGAUAAAUUGUUAGUCGUGAAUAUACACAAUUAAUCUGAUUUGUUUUAACUGGCAGAUUUAACAUUUAAGACGUUUAUGCAUGUGAAAGCUUGGUCCAAGAGAUUUUGUUCCACCCAAGUCAAAUUGCAUAAUGAUCAAGUUAUUAAAAAAAGAAAAAAACCCAACCCACAAAUGUCUUUUUUUAAAAAAAAAUCCUUGGUGUAAAAUAACAUAAUAACUAAUUGCUAAUUAGCUACCCUUUACUAAUGCCCCAUAUUCACUAUCUGGGAAUUAGUUCAUUCUGCCCCAUGGUUGAACUGACUCCACUGUGUGCAGGACCCUUUUCAUGCUU
Crotalus tigris (Tiger rattlesnake) is the source of this 984-nucleotide long non-coding RNA. RefSeq lists it as uncharacterized. NCBI's taxonomy places the organism in Eukaryota, Metazoa, Chordata, Lepidosauria, Squamata, Viperidae. The record is from RefSeq and is a predicted model, not a curated record. The transcript has 4 exons.